This is a long non-coding RNA of Armigeres subalbatus, 577 nucleotides long. RefSeq lists it as uncharacterized. The record is from RefSeq and is a predicted model, not a curated record. Lineage: Eukaryota; Metazoa; Arthropoda; Insecta; Diptera; Culicidae. The transcript is spliced from 2 exons.
UCACGUAGCCACUAAAGUUCACCAAUACCACUAAUUUCACCUGAUGCAUAUAAAACAUAAGGGUAUAGCGUGAAAAUUGAACAAAUUGUUCAUGAAAUUCACCAAAAUAUACUAUACGAUAUACGUGAAUUUCAUGUCAUUGAUGCAUUGGCUGAGAACUCACUCAGCUGUCAAAUUCUAGGCAGCCAAGUGCCAAAAAACGGCAGCCUUUACCGUGCGCGAAAUGCUGGAUAUGCAAGUCAGUGUUGUGUGCCAACAAUUAUCAAUCACGCAGUUAUCAAUUUCUCAUAAGCAAAUUGAUCACCUUCAUCAUGGAGAAAUCUACCAACCUAAAUCCAACUUUCCAUCCCACAACAUAUAAACAACGAGUUUUUCAAUUGCUUUCUGCGGCGCUCUGCUUCGGUUUCCGGACACCAGAAGAUGACCACCGAAUUUAACAAUAAAAACAAAUUUCCCAUGUGUAAUUAAAAGUUAUAAAUAUGUUUGUUUCCUUUUUCUUAAAUAAAAACAUAAAGAUUUUUAUUGUUUAUUAUUCUUAUUUGUGGAAGUAGAAAAAUAAACAAAGUACAUUAAAUGA